This is a non-coding RNA of Camellia sinensis, 5072 nucleotides long. The record is from RefSeq and is a predicted model, not a curated record. NCBI's taxonomy places the organism in Eukaryota, Viridiplantae, Streptophyta, Magnoliopsida, Ericales, Theaceae.
CUCUCCGUCUCACGCACCCUUGUCUCUCUCUCUCUCUCUCUCUCUCUCUCUCUCUCUCACACACACACACACACACACACACACACACACACACAGAGCUUGAAGAAGAUGUCAAGAAGAGUGUCUGUUUCUUCCAUUAUUGGACGACGAAGAAGAAGAAGAAUUGCUGAUCAUAAUUGUCAAAAAGGCAUUCAGGUCAAUAUCUUCACGUUGAACAUUGCUAUUAACUGUUAUUGCCGCCUGAAUCAAGUCCAUUUUGGGUUCUCUCUUUUGGGUACCCUCUUCAAACGCGGUUAUACACCUGAUGUAACUACCUUCAACACUCUGUUAAAUGGACUUAUUUUGGACGAUAAAACCCCUGAAGCUGUAGAGUUAUUUAAGAAAUUAAUGAGAAUGAGAGAAAUUGAACCCGACGUGGUUAUGUAUGGAACCAUUGUUAAUGGGCUCUGCAGAACGGGGAACACUAUCAGGGCUGUUAGUUUGCUUAGGAUAAUGGAAGAGGGAAGUUGUAAACCUAACACCGUAGUGUAUACCACAAUCAUUGACAGCCUUUGCAAGGAUAGAAUGCUGGAUGAUGCUAUGAAACUCUAUUCUAAGAUGAAUGAACAAGGCAUUCGUCAAGAUGUUGUCACUUAUACCUCUUUGAUUCAUGGCCUAUGUAAUUUUGGCAGGUGGAAGGAGGCUGCCGGAAUGUUUAGAGAAAUGUUGGAUAGUGGUAUCGCUCCGAAUGUUCAUACGUAUAGUGUGUUGCUGGAUGCAUGUACCAAGGAAGGGAAGAUGAAAGAGGCAGAGGUGGUACUUGAAAUCAUGAUACAACGAGGUGUGGAUCCUAAUGUAGUCACAUACAAUGCUCUAAUGGAUGGAUAUUGUUUGCAAGGCCAAAUGGAUGAAGCAAUCAGAGUGUUCAAUACCAUGGUGGAUAGGGGCCUUCACUGUAACAUUGUUAGUCACAACAUUUUGAUUAAUGGAUAUUGCAAGAAGAUGAAAAUUGAUGAGGCCAUGCAUCUCUUUCAAGAAUUGUCUCGAAGGGGGUUGAAACCUAACAUUGAAACCUUCAGUGCUGUGUUAUGGGGUUUGUUUCAAACAGGUAGAUGUGGAGCUGCUCAAAAACUUUUCAAUGAUAUGCAAACUGCAGGCAUAAAUCCAGAUUCUCAAACUUAUGGUAUCUUAUUGGAUGGGUUGUGCAAAAAUGGCCAUAUUUCUGAAGCGUUGUCAUUAUUCCACAUGAUGGAAAGCAACGGUUUACAUCUUAAUAUUGUUAUGUAUAAUAUCCUCAUUGAUGCAUUUUGCAAGGAUAAAAAGCUUGAUAUUGCAAGGGCUAUUUUCAAUAACCUUUCUUCCAAGGGAUUACAUCCUAAUGUUAAGACAUAUAAUAUGAUGAUACAUGGUCUUUGUGAAGAAGGCCUAUUGCAUGAAGCUCAAAAGUUGUUUGUUACAAUGGAACAUAAUGGUUGUUUGCCAGAUGAUGUCACUUACAACACUAUUAUCCGAGGAUUUAUUGGACAACACGAGUGCUAUGAGGCAUUAAUACUCGUUGAGGAAAUGGUUCAGAGGGGUUUUUCAGCAGAUGCAUCCAAUUGUUCCUUGAUCGUAGAUAUACUCUCAACUAAAGGACAAGAUCCGGCUCUUCGAGAAGUGAUAAAGAAGUUCAUGCCAAAAGAUAGUCAUGGAAUGCAUGAUAUUGAGUAAAUUUAUUAAGAUGUGAAGGGACUUUGUUAAAGGACCCGUGUGCUGAUUAUGGAGAUUAUUCAAAUCCAUGAUGGAGUUUUAAAGGCUGUAUCAUCUUGGACUGGGAAGGAUUUCUUGUGGAAUCAAGGAAUUUGUGUAGUACCUGCAACUGCAGGAGCUUGAUCUUUGCUGUUUGCUUCCUCAUACAAGGCUUAAGCUUAAUUCCUCAUCAUUACAUCCAAGGAAAUAUUCCAUUAUGCUAAGAAGAAAAUUUGCACAUUUAGCUGCAAAUUCAACAUCAGGGUUUAGUAUUACAUUAGGUAUGUUCUAGAGAUGAAUAAAAACCCUUCAGAUUUCAUUUGAAUGUUUAGCCAAUAUGUGUCUAAUUGUGAGAGUUCCCUUUGUAGUAGAGGUUUUGUGAUGCAAUAAUGUUACGAUUGGCUUAAAGGUAACUUUGCUGGCCUCUUAACCAAAAAAGAGAAUUGAUCUUUAUUUGUCACCCUUUUGACUCAGAGCUAGUGGACAUCAUACUAAACUUCUGUAUGUUUAUUUAUAAUUGUAAAUAUGCUAGUCUUCUUCUUCAUUCUCCCCCUGGAGAUUGCCAUGUUCAAUGCAAAUGCUCACUUGAUACGUUAAAUAAUAAAUAUAGAUGCAGCUACCGCUUGAAAACAUACAUCUAUCUUGUGCAGGUAAGAGAGGUGAAAUUGAUGCUUGAAAACAUACAUCUAUCUUGUGCAGGUAAGAGUGGUGAAAUUGAUGUUUCUGGGUUGAUGUUAAUAAAAUCUUUAUGGCAACAGCCUUCAAUAGAUCCGUCUUGUAAAUAAACGUUCCCGGGUUUCUACACAAAUAGGAGAACAAGUAUUGAUACUAAACUGAUUGACCAUCAAUCAGAGGGUGCAUGGGAGUAACUCAGACCUUUUUGCAUUUGCAAUGAUUCUAAAUGUAACUAAUUUCCUUUGUAGAAACAGUAUGUACGUUGUAUUCUUAUAGUCUCUACCCACUGAAGCUUUGAACCACGCAGCUUACUAGGCAUAGCAUUGCAACUUUUUUUUUUUUUUCAGAAAAAAAAAAAAAAACUAUUUGCAGCAAAUUAUGAUCUCUCAAAUGGUUCUUGGAGAUUCUCUCUCUUAUUUUUUAUGAGAGAUUGCUUAUAAGAAUUUUCUUUUUAUGAAUUUAUUGUCAGUUCGGAUUUUUAAAAUUGGUGAUGGAAUUUUUGUUGUAUCAUUUAUCUAUCUUAUUCCAAGCCUUCAAAGUAGUUCUAUGUUGACAUGUCUGUCAUUUUUUUUGGGGGGUCUCUGUGUGUGCAAAUGGACCAUGGUUGUGCAAGACACAUAUCUUUGGAAAGAACAAAAGGAAAUCUUUUGGGGGACUUCCAAAUGUUCUGAGGUUUGCUUUGUAGAUUUUCAUCAAAAAUUGGUUUUUGAGUAGAAGUUUCAUGUGCUCAAAUUAGUUUAUCCUUUCUAAUUUGGUAUUUUCAAUGAUGGCGAACCAAAGAAAUAUUACAUCAUUUUUUAUUUUGUAUUUUUUACAAUUUGGCUAGAGUUUUGAAGCAGUUUAUGAAAACUUAGUGAACAUUUAUUGCAUUUAUCUCAUGCAAUGGAGCUGUUAACACAUGUAUUAAAAGUUAGAUUUUAUUUGUAGCUAGCUAUUUAGCCUACCGUUGUGGAAUUAAGAGAUUAAAAUAUUAAUUUUUCAAAAAGAAAUUCAAACUCUACUUCAAACUUUAUCAUUGUUUGUUAAAAAAUCAUUACCUGUAUUUUAGUCCUGUUUCAGUGCUUUGCUCCACAACUUUCAAUUUAUUUAUUUAUUUAUCUUUUAUUAUUGCCAUUGCUGCUAGCUAGUCCUCUUCCAUAAUAAAAAGCAACCAAAUAUUGAUUUCUUAACUAUUUGUGUGCUCAACCCCUUUAAUGAAUAACAACUCAACUAAAUUCAUCUACACUCUUUUACCAACCUGAGAGCAUAAGAGAGCAAGGUUAAGGGAUCAAAUUCGGGAUGAGUUUAAUUUGUAAUUUAAGAGAAUGAUGAGGUUGUAUGGUUGAAUAGAAAAUUGAGUUUUAUCAAUUUCCCAACAAUAGUGUUGACACUAAUUUUUGAUUUGAAUUUAUUUGAUUUUCUUUGCUUUGCUAGUGUUGACGUUAGUGUCGACACGAAUUUUUGAUAAACUUUGCUAGUAUUGACACUAAUUUUUAUAAGAUUUGUUAGUGUCAACACUAAUUAAGAAUUGUUUAAUGGGUUGGUGGGUUCAGAUAAUUUAGUUGAUGAGUUGCUAAUUUGUUUAUUGCAGAGCACACAUACUAUAAUCACACAUUUACAAGCUUAAUGAGACUCACUUUUGCCAUGGGAGAUUCCAUUUCUGAUAACAUGACUGCAGUCAUGUUUGGCCAGUAAGGAUGGAGAAAUAGAUGAGAUAGAGGGAGAAAGAUUUUCUUGAGAUAAAGAACAAGAAGGACAAUGAAACUCUCAACAAGGAUCCUAAAUGGGACUUGAAAUGUCGAAGUUGCUGGUUAUUCAAGGUGUGGUGGAUUCAAUGCUCAAAUGAGAAGCCAAUUUGGCCUCUGUCCGCAACAAGACCCGCAACGAGGGAAGCACUGAGUUGUUCAACUCCAUGAUUGACUAGACACUAGGCAAUAGAUGACGGAUGUAAAGGACAUUUUGAUGAAAGUGAAGAACAUUACGGUGGAUUUGAGAGAGUUGAACCUGAAGGUAAAUGCACUCUUGAAAAACUUCAACAUAGCAGUACCCUCUUCCCCUGCUGCACUUGCUGGUAUGUAUCUUUGCCAUCUCCACCACCACCACCACCACCACCACUACCGGUCACUAAUGGUGGAGGGAACGGUGGUGGAGGGAAUGGAGGAGGGAGUUAUUUUAGGAGAUCAUCUCUAACUUGAUGAUCAUCCAUGGGUUACUCAAUACCAUGCUGAAGCCAGCCACUAACGCGGCAUCUAGCUACUGAAUUGCUGAAAUCGAUGACAGGGUUCAACUCUAAGCAGCAGAUGUCCGAAGUGAAGCAACCUUCAGUGAAUGUGAACUUGCUGACCUGUUAGACAUCAAGGCAAAUGCACUGCUUAGUAAGUUUAAUAUUUCAAUACCCUCCCCUGCACCACUGCUUGGUGGUACAUCUUCACCAUCACCACCAUCAAAGGACACUAAUGGUGGAGGGAAUGGUGGAGGGAACAGUGGUGGGGAUCAAAGGAGGUAUUCUAGGAGUUGGUUGGGACACGAACAAUUUAUUAUUAUUAUUAUUAUUAUUAUUAUUAUUAUUAUUUUGUGAUCGAUUUUGUUAUGUUUCUGUAAAAGAAAUAUUUAAUUUCUUAAUGAAGAAUCUGAAAAAUUAUCUAGUUAAUCUUAAUCUCUUCUGAGGGUUUUGAUUACUAUUGCUUUUGAGUCUGGGUUUUAUUUAUUUA